Molecule: ribosomal RNA, 465 nt
Filed under: Vreelandella stevensii
Lineage: Bacteria; Pseudomonadati; Pseudomonadota; Gammaproteobacteria; Oceanospirillales; Halomonadaceae
Description: partial 16S ribosomal RNA
Rfam family: Bacterial small subunit ribosomal RNA
Source: RNAcentral
CCUACGGGUGGCUGCAGUGGGGAAUAUUGGACAAUGGGCGAAAGCCUGAUCCAGCCAUGCCGCGUGUGUGAAGAAGGCCUUCGGGUUGUAAAGCACUUUCAGUGGGGAAGAAAGCCUUGGGGCUAAUACCCUCGAGGAAGGACAUUACCCACAGAAGAAGCACCGGCUAACUCCGUGCCAGCAGCCGCGGUAAUACGGAGGGUGCGAGCGUUAAUCGGAAUUACUGGGCGUAAAGCGCGCGUAGGCGGUCUGAUAAGCCGGUUGUGAAAGCCCCGGGCUCAACCUGGGAACGGCAUCCGGAACUGUCAGGCUAGAGUGCAGGAGAGGAAGGUAGAAUUCCCGGUGUAGCAGUGAAAUGCGUAGAGAUCGGGAGGAAUACCAGUGGCGAAGGCGGCCUUCUGGACUGACACUGACGCUGAGGUGCGAAAGCGUGGGUAGCAAACAGGAUUAGAUACCCCUGUAGUC